This is a long non-coding RNA of Hippocampus zosterae (dwarf seahorse), 5119 nucleotides long. RefSeq lists it as uncharacterized. The transcript is spliced from 2 exons. The record is from RefSeq and is a predicted model, not a curated record. NCBI's taxonomy places the organism in Eukaryota, Metazoa, Chordata, Actinopteri, Syngnathiformes, Syngnathidae.
CGCAACAGAUGCUCUUGGUUCGCUGUCACCUGUGGCAGGGGGAGGGAGGGAGCGGGGUCUCGUGUAAUUGAGAUUUACGGCUGUGUGGCUGCUUCCAGCUGACGAGGUUUACAGAUCGCUUUCUCUCUAGCAGACAAAUUGCUUCUCCCUUAAAAAAAAAAAAAAAAAAAAAAAAAACACAAGACAAACACAUUCAGCGCUCAUUAGAAUGCGCACACACAGACAGUGACGCAUUCACCCCGUGGGAUCAGAUUUAUCAUCCCCGGACUCCUUAGUGUCCCACAAGAGACGCAAUAUUCAGGCCAUUACGUGGCCGAUCUAUUUAUUUCCUGCCCAAGAUGGCUGGAGCAGUGUGUAUCUCUUACCGUGACAUGACAUUGAACGCCCUUUCCAUCCGCCUGAACAACGGCUGAUAUGCCUGACCUCAAGGACGACUCGCUAGAUGGUUGGCAGAGAGUGAGCGGAUGAGGAAAAGGAAACGCCGCAGUGAGGCUGAUUUGUGUUUUUCUUUCCUGAAGUGAUUAUAACUAACAAAAAGCAAUGAAAUAGCAAACAUUGAAAAAAUAUUUUCGUUAACAAAAUAAAAUUAAGAGGGCUAUAACCCUUUCGGGGACAGCGGUUACUACAGUGGAGAGCUUAUCGUGUUAUCAGGUUACAGGGUGCAUGAAAGGGUGAAAAAAAAUGUAACUAACUGAAACUACCGUACAUUUUGCGCUUAUAAAACUAACUAACAACUUUCUAUCAUGAUAAUGAAAAUGUCUUUUGAUUUAAUCUUUGUCAAAUAAUUUCUGACAUGAGCUUUAUUUUGGGCAUAUUUAUUUGGGGAGUACUAUUCAGACAUGUAGGACAGUCAAACUGUUUUUGGGGAUUUGUGGGUUACUUUACUUCAUUACACAAUACUUGGCUACCUUUUUUUUCUUUAAUCGGGCGCUUGUUAAAUACGCCAUGGAAUUAAAAAAAAAUCAGGUCAAGUAAAAAUAAAGCUAAUACUAAAACUAAUAAAAAGUGAAUUAAAGCAAAGAAUUUUGGACAUAUUAAAAAGUAGUCAAAACUAACAAACCUACUGUAUAAACAAAGUAAUGAAUUAAAACAGUUUAGUGGGAAAAAAAUGUCAAAAUGAAAUAAAAACUAACUCCUACGAAAAAUCCAAAAUUAUUAUAACCGCAGUCGUGAGUGGAGAAAAGCGAAAAUAAUAAAAAUAACAAUAACUAUAUAAAAACAAUGGCAUUGAUUUAAAUAACAUCGUUUCAAGAAAUGGCUAGAUAAUAUUCCUGAAUCUGAAUCGAAAGGGUCCAGAUGGAUGUUUAUCGCAUUCAUAUAAAAGUGAAUGACAGUUGUGCCUCCUCAUGCCGCCAUUCAAAUGGAGUAUGAUCCUUCAUAAAAUGUACACCACAUGUUGGAGGAACACAAUAAGAUGAAUAAUUUUUGUCCCACCAAGCAUCAUCAGGUUAUUCAAAAAAAACAAAAAAGCAAUAUGAAUAUCAUCCUACAUCAGCAGAUAUAUAUUCUUGGAGCAGACAGGUUGAAAGGUAUCAGCUGGAAGCAGCAAGCGCACCUCAGACAGCAUGCGUUCAGCCAGCAUCACAUUGUCGUUACCUGAGCAGAUGUAUCAACGGAGCUGUGCCUUCAAGAGUCACCCUCAUAUUAACUCAUUCACUGCCAGCCCAGUCAAAACGGAUCUUUGACGUCUAUAGCCGUCAAUGGCAGUGAAUGAGUUCAACAGUUGGGAAUAAUGCUCGUAGCUUUUGAGUUUGGUAUAAUAGAUAUAGAAGGAUGCUCCAGUCAAGCAUUCUCAGGUAACGACACCCAAUCCUCACUUUUCCAAACAAGCUUCUUGCUGUCGUAUGUUUUGUAUGAUUCAGUUUUUGAUUCUCAUUUGAUAUGGCACUUUUUGCUCUGUUUUAUUCCAGCUCUUGAAUAUUUUUCUUUCUCCGUAAGACUCAGCUGCAGUGAUCUUUGUUUGUGUUGCUUCUCUGUGAGCAAUGCCGGGCUAUGUUUGCAUGGCUUCAAGUCACAUCUUUUGUUGCUGUUAAGUUUUCCCACUAUUUCUACGUAUUUGACUUUUUCCAGCUUUGAUUGCUUUGAUGUUAUUCCGCGCCGUUUUGCCUCAGCGCGGCUUAACGCGUCUAAGCAUGGCAAAUUGAGCACCGCAGUCAAGUGCGUUCAUUUCCCGCCCUCCCCAUCCUGUCUUCUCUCCUUUCCUGUUGCCCCUCAGCAAACAGCUGUACUGUGAAAAAAAAAACUUCAGCCGGCUCUCCAAAAACUCUUGUUGAGGCGAGAAGUGAAACUUUUCAGAGUGGUGUGCCAUACUCAUAAGUCCGUACGAUGCACACAUACAGUCCAAGUAUAAUGGCAAGUUAUGACGUAUUGCAAUACGCUUGUAUAAUUUUAAUAGAUGAUAAUAGUUGCAGCACAAUUUCCUUCUGGAUCAAUAGCGAGUUACCAUGUUGGUGUGGUAAUUUGCUGAGGUGUGUGUGUGUGUGUUUAUUGUAAAUGAAUCUCAUUACAUUGUGCAAGAGCAACACAUUCAGCGUUUGAAUAUUGUCUCUGUUGCGAUUAUUCCAGCUUAUAUAUCAAGGUGGAAAAAGCACACACUAGGAUUUACAACUACAACCCGUAUUGAUUGUGUCUGCCUCACAGUUGGAAGGUUCUGGCUCAAAUCUGUGAGGAGUUUAAAAAAAAAAAUGGGAUUAGAUUUUUUUUUAAUGUACUGUAUCUUCUUCCCACAUUCCAAAAACACGCGUGUUAGGUCAAAUGAAGAUUACAGUUCUGAAUGUGAAUGGCUGUUUGUCUGUAUGUGUCCCGUGAUUGGCCGGUGACCAGUCCAAGGUGAAAAGCCUCCCAAGUCUCCAAAAUCUAAUCUUGUGGCAUAUGAGUGCAUAAUCAUCGAAAUGGUAAAAAGUUUUGGAGUCAAAUGUAUCAGUUCCUAUCAGGAGCCGUGCUCGAGAUAAUAUGGCGCCUUAAAAUAAAUUAAUCCCCCAUCUCCUUUUUUCCAUUUGCAGCGGAGACAUUGCAGGAUCUUAUCUCCUAAUGAAUAUUAUUAUUAGGCCAAAGCGCCACAGUAAUUAAACAGGCGCUGCAAAGUGAGGAGUAUUAACGAGCCGGCGGCGUCUUUAUCUGCCGCUUCAGUCGAGGGGCCCUCCCUAUCUCAAAGGUAGCUUCUUUUUUUCACAGUACAUUUGCACUUUGUCUCUGUCUGUCUGUCUGUCUGUCAUAAAAAACCCCCAUGACCCUCAUGGCUCAAACCACGCCCACUUGCUCUGAACACCUCGCCAUCUCCUGCCACUGUGACCCCUCCCAACAUCCAACAGGGAUGGCAUGUUCCAAGGCUGUACCUUUUUAGAAGUGAUUCCUCAACCAAUUUAUGGAUAACCCCAAACCCUCCCUCCGAUCCUGCCCCCCCCCAACCCCCUCCUCCUCAUUCAUUCCCGCUCCUCCCCCUGGUAGACUGUCUCCUUUCCAACAAGACUCAUAUCUCUUCUCUUGUCUAAAUGAAUCCCUCCUUUUGGCUCUCUUCCCUUUUCUGCCGUCUCUCUUCCUGUCAGCCCCGCCCCCUCCCCCCACCUCCUCGUCCACCUUCCCCAGCCCGACCUGUAGCCGCCGCUGCGCUGCUCCAAUUUAUGGCUUCAUUACAGCAGCUAUCCACGGGAGACGGACGAGGGUGAAAGAGGGAGGCAGCUAGACGACAGGGGCAGGAGACAUGGGAAAUAAAGAGAGUGCAGGAAAAGCAACAUGCAUGAUAAAGAUUUAUUUAACAAGAAGGACAAUCAUGCAGUGGUGAGGCGAAAGAAAAAAAGACAGCUGAGAGGUAAUUGAAAACAACGGGAAAAAUCAACAAAUGAGAAGCGAAAAGAGGAAAUUGAGGUCCGGAAAGUUAGUGUGAGGUUCGUCAAGGAAAAGUUUCUGUGCUUUCUUUCUUUGUAAGAGUGAACAAACGAGGAAGUUCCACCCCAUUGUUGUAAGUGACUCAGUUAUCUGCAGUAAAAUCCAUCUUGUAUGUUUUUUUUCAGAGGAUAAAGAAUAUGUACCUGUGAGUAAUGUUACAUUGUCUGUCUACAUCUGUUGCGACAUUGCUUGCGUUCAAAUAUGAGAUAGCGGUAAAGAUAUGUAACGGUUUUAAAUGAUAGUAAACCUUAACUGGGAGUAACGUGAAGCAAGUUGAAAGGCUCUUUUUUUUCCUGAAGGUUAGUUCACGAAGCCAAACUGCUGCUUUUUAAUGCAGUGAACUGAGUUGAUUUCACUGCCACUAUACCUGAUUGUUUUAUUUGUAUGUGGUUUGAUUUUAUUUUAUUUUUAUAGAGAGAUAUUAUCUGCAAUUACAACAGUUGAAGUUUCCAAACUGAGCGCAAAAAUCAAAAACCACAGAAUUCAUUGGAAAUGGAGAACUUGUAAAAUGUCAGACUAUUCAAGUCACAGAUCAAAAAUAUAUUUGGAAAAAUGUGCAAAUACUGCUCAGUCUUUAGACCAAUGUUAGAUUCAUUAAAACAUCACGACUUGACAUGAAAUGCAGCCUGCCAACAGCCCUUGGCGAGAAGAUGACCUUGCUCACAUUGAGAUGUGAUGUCUUAUUUAUUUUUCAUUCAUACCGAAGACGGCAAAGGGAACAUUUCGACAUCACUGCUGCGGAUUUCAAUCUUGAAGGUUAGAGAAGGUAUUAAUGACACCCCGAUUGCUGUCAUUGUCAUUGCAUGGCACUCGCUCGAACUCCAGCCGCUGCUUUAACACUCGGUAAAGUACAGAUUUGUUCGAAAUAAAAUCUUUAAUAUUCAAAGGAAGAAUCAGUUUGGGGCAGAUUGAAAUAUAGUUUGAUUAUAUUUCAACAACAGAGUAAGGAAGUACACUUGCUCGUUUAAUUUUUUUAAAAAGUUGAUUUCUGAAAUAAAGACAUACAAUAAAUAAAUAAUUAUUUAAAAUACAACUAUCUUGGUCACAAAAAAAGCAAAGAAACUCAUUUAAAUAGGCACCAUGUCCAAAUCGUUUUUCCACUUGGUCGACAUACUGUUUUCAAAAACUGACUGCACUGUUUUUGAACAUAUUCAAACAUACAAAAUCCCUUGCCAGUCCUUGUGCAUGUCAUCUUCUCUUGGUAAAAAAAAAAAAACACACACACACAAAAACA